UCAUGCAAACAUGCCUGAUAUCUCUCAUGAAACAAAGUCUGCCCACAGGAAACUAGCGGGUGCUUCUGGAUGUAUUUGUUGGAUAUGUGCAAGAGGAUAUCAAGCCUCGAGGAGAUGGGUAAAACAAACAGGAAAGGACAAAGCAAUGCCAUAAUGAAAAAUAGUUUCUUGGAGUUUUAUAAUGGCAACAAUUUAGUAUUAAUUUCAAAGGGUCUGAGUGUAGGUGUUGUACCUCUUCUGCACAGCAGCAGCUUGAGUUCUGGUCAGAGUGGACAGCAGGGCUUGGCCAUCCUCCUCUUCAGCUCCUGAGAUCAAUGUGGAUAAACCUACGUCUUGCAGCCAUUCUGC
Hirundo rustica (Barn swallow) is the source of this 348-nucleotide long non-coding RNA. RefSeq lists it as uncharacterized. The transcript is spliced from 3 exons. The record is from RefSeq and is a predicted model, not a curated record. Lineage: Eukaryota; Metazoa; Chordata; Aves; Passeriformes; Hirundinidae.